This 2240-nucleotide ribosomal RNA is filed under the name Acinetobacter baumannii. RNAcentral describes it as "partial 23S ribosomal RNA". It matches the Rfam family "Bacterial large subunit ribosomal RNA", at positions 706 to 2925 of the family's 2925-position model. The record is from RNAcentral. Lineage: Bacteria; Pseudomonadati; Pseudomonadota; Gammaproteobacteria; Moraxellales; Moraxellaceae.
GGUAUAGACCCGAAACCAGGCGAUCUAUCCAUGAGCAGGUUGAAGGUUGGGUAACACUAACUGGAGGACCGAACCCACUGUCGUUGAAAAGCCAGGGGAUGACUUGUGGAUAGGGGUGAAAGGCUAAUCAAGCCUGGUGAUAGCUGGUUCUCCCCGAAAGCUAUUUAGGUAGCGCCUCGGACGAAUACCAUAGGGGGUAGAGCACUGUUUCGGCUAGGGGGUCAUCCCGACUUACCAAACCGAUGCAAACUCCGAAUACCUAUGAGUACUAUCCGGGAGACAGACUGCGGGUGCUAACGUCCGUAGUCAAGAGGAAAACAAUCCAGACCGCCAGCUAAGGCCCCAAAAUCAUAGUUAAGUGGGAAACGAUGUGGGAAGGCAUAGACAGCUAGGAGGUUGGCUUAGAAGCAGCCACCCUUUAAAGAAAGCGUAAUAGCUCACUAGUCGAGUCGGCCUGCGCGGAAGAUGUAACGGGGCUAAAACUAUGUGCCGAAGCUGCGGAUGUAUACUUUGUAUACGUGGUAGGGGAGCGUUCUGUAAGCCGAUGAAGGUGUGUUGAGAAGCAUGCUGGAGGUAUCAGAAGUGCGAAUGCUGACGUGAGUAACGACAAAACGGGUGAAAAACCCGUUCGCCGAAAGACCAAGGGUUCCAGUCCAACGUUAAUCGGGGCUGGGUGAGUCGACCCCUAAGGCGAGGCCGAAAGGCGUAGUCGAUGGGAAAAUGGUUAAUAUUCCAUUACUUCUGUGUAAUGCGAUGAGAGGACGGAGAAGGCUAAAUCAGCCUGGCGUUGGUUGUCCAGGUGAAAGGAUGUAGGCAUGUAUCUUAGGCAAAUCCGGGGUACUCUAUGCUGAGAUCUGAUAGCAAGCUGUACUUGUACAGCGAAGUGGUUGAUGCCAUGCUUCCAGGAAAAGUCUCUAAGCUUCAGUUACACAGGAAUCGUACCCGAAACCGACACAGGUGGUCAGGUCGAGUAGACCAAGGCGCUUGAGAGAACUCUGCUGAAGGAACUAGGCAAAAUGGUACCGUAACUUCGGGAGAAGGUACGCUGUUGUUGGUGAUGGAACUCGCUUCCUGAGCUGACGACAGCCGCAGAAACCAGGCCGCUGCAACUGUUUAUUAAAAACAUAGCACUCUGCAAACACGAAAGUGGACGUAUAGGGUGUGAUGCCUGCCCGGUGCUGGAAGGUUAAUUGAUGGGGUUAGCGUAAGCGAAGCUCUUGAUCGAAGCCCCAGUAAACGGCGGCCGUAACUAUAACGGUCCUAAGGUAGCGAAAUUCCUUGUCGGGUAAGUUCCGACCUGCACGAAUGGCAUAAUGAUGGCGGCGCUGUCUCCAGCAGAGGCUCAGUGAAAUCGAAAUCGCUGUGAAGAUGCAGUGUACCCGCGGCUAGACGGAAAGACCCCGUGAACCUUUACUGCAGCUUGACACUGAACUUUGACCUUACUUGUGUAGGAUAGGUGGGAGGCUUUGAAGCUGGAACGCUAGUUCCAGUGGAGCCGUCCUUGAAAUACCACCCUGGUAAUGUUGAGGUUCUAACUCUGUCCCGUGAUCCGGGACGAGGACCGUGUCUGGUGGGUAGUUUGACUGGGGCGGUCUCCUCCUAAAGAGUAACGGAGGAGUACGAAGGUGCGCUCAGCGUGGUCGGAAAUCACGCGUAGAGUAUAAAGGCAAAAGCGCGCUUAACUGCGAGACCCACAAGUCGAGCAGGUACGAAAGUAGGUCUUAGUGAUCCGGUGGUUCUGUAUGGAAGGGCCAUCGCUCAACGGAUAAAAGGUACUCUGGGGAUAACAGGCUGAUACCGCCCAAGAGUUCAUAUCGACGGCGGUGUUUGGCACCUCGAUGUCGGCUCAUCUCAUCCUGGGGCUGAAGCAGGUCCCAAGGGUAUGGCUGUUCGCCAUUUAAAGAGGUACGCGAGCUGGGUUUAGAACGUCGUGAGACAGUUCGGUCCCUAUCUACCGUGGGCGCUGGAAAUUUGAGAGGAUCUGCUCCUAGUACGAGAGGACCAGAGUGGACGAACCUCUGGUGUACCGGUUGUGACGCCAGUCGCAUCGCCGGGUAGCUAUGUUCGGAAGGGAUAACCGCUGAAAGCAUCUAAGCGGGAAGCCUACCUCAAGAUAAGAUUUCCCUAGGACUUUAUGUCCUCUAAAGAGCCGUUCGAGACUAGGACGUUGAUAGGUUGGAUGUGGAAGCAUAGUGAUAUGUGAAGCUGACCAAUACUAAUUGCUCGUGAGGCUUGACUAU